Molecule: ribosomal RNA, 432 nt
Filed under: uncultured bacterium
Lineage: Bacteria
Description: bacterial SSU rRNA
Rfam family: Bacterial small subunit ribosomal RNA
Source: RNAcentral
UCGAGGAUCUUCGGCAAUGGGCGCAAGCCUGACCGAGCGACGCCGCGUGUGCGAUGAAGGCCUUCGGGUUGUAAAGCACUGUCGAGGGGGAGGAAGCCGCAAGGUUGACCUAUCCCUGGAGGAAGGACGGGCUAAGUUCGUGCCAGCAGCCGCGGUAAGACGAACCGUCCUAACGUUGUUCGGAAUCACUGGGCUUAAAGGGCGCGUAGGCGGCCCAAAAAGUCCGGGGUGAAAGCCCCCAGCUCAACUGGGGAAGUGCCUCGGAUACUGUUGGGCUCGAGGGAGGUAGGGGCAGCUGGAACUUCCGGUGGAGCGGUGAAAUGCGUUGAUAUCGGAAGGAACGCCGGUGGCGAAAGCGAGCUGCUGGACCUCAUUCUGACGCUGAGGCGCGAAAGCUAGGGGAGCAAACGGGAUUAGAUACCCCCGUAGUCC